GCGCAGCAGGCGCGAAACCUCCGCAAUACACGAAAGUGUGACGGGGCCAUCCCGAGUGCCGUCCGCUGAGGACGGCUUUUUCCCCAGUGUACAUAGCUGGGGGAAUGAGGAGAGGGCAAGCCUGGUGUCAGCCGCCGCGGUAAUACCAGCUCUCCGAGUGGUGGGGACGCUUAUUGGGCCUAAAGCAUCCGUAGCCGGCUGGGCAAGUCCUCCGUUAAAUCCAACGAUUCAAUCGUUGGGCUGCGGGGGAUACUGUCCAGCUUGGGGGCGGGAGAGGCCGACGGUAUUCCCGGGGUAGGGGUGAAAUCCUAUAAUCCCGGGAGGACCACCAGUGACGAAGGCUGUCGGCUAGAACGCGCCCGACGGUGAGGGAUGAAAGCUGGGGGAGCGAACCGGAUUAGAUACCCGUGUAGU
Molecule: ribosomal RNA, 414 nt
Filed under: uncultured microorganism
Description: bacterial SSU rRNA
Rfam family: Archaeal small subunit ribosomal RNA
Source: RNAcentral